AUUAGACAGUGUACCCAGCCCCAAAUUUGAAAUUUUUGAGCACUGACAUGACACCACAUGUGGAAAACCCUACACCCGGGUUUAGGUGGUGGAUUGUAGUCAAAAUGCAAGUGCACAACACGCAGUUUAUUCAGUAACCCCAAGAGAAAAAUAAAGUUAUCUUCAGGCUAUGUGCAGAAGAUGUGUAUGAAACAUAAAUGAAUUUCAUGUUUAGAUUUGGGUCCCAUCCCCAAAAUAGAUCAUUAUGUAUAUGCAGAUAUUCCAAAAUUUGAAAAAAUUUGAGAUCUGAAAUACUUCUAGUCCCACACAUUUCAGAUAAGGGAUACUCAACUUGUGUAUACACAAUAUAUAGACAGUCCCCAAAUUAUGGUGGUUCAGUUCACAAUUUUUUGCCUUUACAGUGGGUUUAUUGAGACAGCAAAUGCAUUUUAGACCCACAAUGAGUUGUAUUGGGAAGUAGUCCCAUCAUAAGUCUAGGAUCAUCUGUAUAUAUGUUUUAUUGUAUUAAACAGCCCAUUUUAGUAUGUUGGCUAUUUAAGCAUUUCAGUCUGUCCUGGUGAUGAUAGCAGAGUAGAUUGUAAUCAAAGAAAACUGUUUGCCAGCAGGCAGAUGCAGAUCAGAAUAAAGGUGAGGUUGGGUGCUUGUCGGAAAGACCGUCUCAGCCAGAAAUCAGAAUGAACUACAUUUUUCAGGGUCGUGUUCCACAUAUUAAGGAUAUGCAAAUUAGCUUCUCCAUCAAUUAACACAACCACAGAAGUCCAAAGAGGCAAAAUCUGGAGCAGCAGGUGAGCAAGAAGAGGCACGGCUUGGAGCAAACCAGGGGGUACCUAGAAGAUGGCUUGUGGUCAUCACAGUGAUGAGCAAGAGAUGUAAGCCAGAAAUAUUCACCAGCUGGUUAGUUUAGCCUUAAAGGCUACUGACUGUGGGCCAGGCUAGACAGAAACAAUCUGGGUUAAUCUACUCAAUUUAAAUCCAGGCAGCGGGGAAAAUGGAUACUUUCAUAUGUCUCUGUACCCAACUAUAAACUUUUGGUUCUCAUGCACCAUUUUCAUUUUGCCUUCUCACUCCAAGUACCACUGAUUUUACCAAUUACUCUCAUAAUUGACUUUGCUACUGGAAGAAACUCUUAGAAUGUUGGAAUUUCUCUAUUACACACUUUGCCUCAAAGAAUGUGUCAGUCAGGACUAAAGCAAUAGUCUCAGGGCAGACAGCCAACCUACAUCUGAUGACAACAUUGCAGUACAGUAGUCACAAUAUGCUGACUUCUGAGCAAGCCCGUGGCACUACCCUGGAAGGAUGGCCCCAGAGAAGCUGGGAUAUGCAAGCUACCCGCCUCAUAGUUCGGAGACCAUUGAGUGGAAAGUGCUUCCCCUUUGUUCUUUCUGUUUAUUCACAAGUGGGUGAAAUGGAUUUCUGAGUCUCCUAGCCUAAAGCAAGUUUUGGCUUGAUGACUUUUAUGGGCAUUUAUGUUUACUUUGUAAAAGUGUAAGAAACAAUAAGUUAUAGUAAUAUGGGGGAGUGGGAGGUUAGUAGUUGUUUAAAUCUUUUUAAAAAGAAUGCAUUUGCAAGAGAUUAAUGUUUAUGAGUGGCUAGGACAUUCAGAGAGCAUAAAGUGCUUUUAGGGUGUGUUGAGAUGGGGAGUUUUCAAAUGAGCCCAGAGUUUCUGAAUUCCUUGAAGCCAUUCUGAUAAUUUCUUUGAAAGAAAACUUGCCCCUGUAAACAUGUUUGCUGUGUGUCUGUUCCAUCGUUGCAGGGCUGGUUCUAACGCUACAUCAGGAAAUGGAAUUCUUGGGCACAGUAAUAAUAGAGAAGUGAGUCAUUGGAUUAGAAGGUCACCUAUCCAGACGAAUCAGUGGGAAAUUAGUUCUAUGGUCUGUUUGGUUUGGUAAUAAAAGGAAGUAUAUUUCUCCAAUCGAUAAAGUUCCUAGUUCUUUAAAAAUUUCUCUCAAAUCCUUGGUAGGACAUACUUAAGACUACAAACUUGUCAUUUUCUAGCUGGGGAAGAUGGUUCCUUAAAAAGGAUCCUGUUUGUCACCACCCUGUGGGCACUUUUUUGAAUUCUUCAUUUGAAGGGCCUUGGAAACCAUUUCAUCAUGCCUCACCAUAUGAAUAUAUAAUGUUUCCUAAGUACUGAAUAGUUUUCCUUCAUUCUGGGUCCAAGGGGUGGCAGUUGAAGACAGGCUGGGAACUGCUACCAAUCAUCACAGUGGCCUGGUUUCAGAAGGGCUCUAUGUUCAUCUCCCCUCGUUUUUCUUCUCUUACCUCUGUUGGGAGAUCAUCUGCAGAAAUCCUUCUGUGCCCUUCAGUAGACUUGGCAUCAAGGAAGACUGAGGUUUUCCAGCUCUCCAGUGGCAAAGACCUGGGGCUGUCACUGGGGAGGCUGCACCUGGGCUGGACCCGUUUGUACUGAUGGCACUGGGUCCUGCACUAUCUGUGCAGCCCUAAAAAUAGCUCUCAAUUAACAUUGCAUUUCAAGAAUUGGAAAAUUUCCCAGAAGUCCAUUCUUUCUUCCUUUUCUAUUUCAUUACAUUUUGCAGUAAUAAUACACAAGCCUCCAGAAAACAUGACGGGUAAUGAAAAAAUGUAAUUAAUAUAAGCAGCGUAAAGCAUGUUUUUUUUUCUCUGUUGUCCUUGCAGAAAAUUGCUGCUUUAAACCAAGCAGGAUAUGAAAAUGCAUAAACCCCCCCUAAUCUGCUGUGGUUUGUAAAUAUCUUAUGCAAAACAGUUAAGUCAACUGUCAGAUUUUUUUUUUUUAACAUUAAGCCACAUAUUCUUGUAAAAUUUGUUUCCCCUGCAGGACAAGUGGAGUGAUUUAGAUAAGUAUUUGUGAGGGGGAAGAAAUGGCAGUGAUGGUAAGGUUUUUCAACAAUAAACCUAAAAGCAGAAAGAACCUCCUUUUUGAAUUGCUGGUCUGUCCAUUGGUUUCAUCUGAAUGGCAUUGUGUGCUGCCUCUAGGUACACUCAAUUUUGGUAUAGUACUUGCGAAAAGUAAAUGUCCUUGCUACAAUUUCACACCAGUACACCUUAUCCCAUUCAUUGAAAUAAAGUGAUUAAGACGCCAAGAGGCUGUGGUAUAGUCAACAUGCUGGAGACCAUUUUGGUUGACUUAUCUGUACCACUAGUAAUUAUCUAUAGGUGUUUGACUAAGAAGCCACAAUAGAAUUUCAAAACUGAAAUACAGAGCAUUAUUCUGAAAACAUCUUCCAAGGCCAGUGCUUACGGUUUGUUCGCAUUUGUUCUUUUCUUUGUCCUUUAACAGCAACAACAACAAAAACUACAGUUAAUAUAACUUAUGGGUCAUUGUUAAUUUCUAUCUUGUCCUGAGUUCUAAAGGUUUCCUACGGCCUGGAUGUGCGUGAACUUUCAGAUUUCGCUCUCUGUGGAAACUCCUGGCCUUGUCACCACUGUGCCACUAGGCUCCCUCGUGAAGCAGGUCUAGCCUUGCAAGGAGAUAUUUUCAAAGUAACCAGAGUUUUCGGCCCCAGAGCAGAGAAUGAUCACCAUAACACAGGCAGCGUCCAUCCCUAGCCCCUGCUGACCAAAUGGCAUGCAGGAGAAAUGAGGUGGCUGGAAGAUGUCUCCGUGGAAUAGAGGUUCCUAGACUCAUGAACCUUAGGGAGGAAGAAACAAAUGGCUCUCUCCUUGGGGAACUUUCUCACUCUUCUCCGGCACCGCUCCUGCCUUUCCAGAGAAUGGGGUCUGCUUGUUUGCAAAUCCAGAGUACCAACUGGGUCAACCGAUGGAUCUUUGUGGAACUCCUCUGAUAAGCCUACAGUGGUUCAAGCACCGUACAGGCAGACUGAAGACAGAAAGAAGUGUGAGUCACAGAGUCUCUUCCAAAUUUCAGACCUGUGGCAGCUUCCCAGAGGCUGGAGUAGACCAGAAGAGAAUGACUAAGGCAUGAUGUUCUGGGAGUUACAGUCCUGGCACGUAAUUGUGAAUAUGGCACAAAAUGAGGCGGUGGGUGUCCAGACUGCACCUAACAAUGGGAGCCUGAGAGCAAAUGGCUGGAAGGUCAGGAAGGCAGGAGACUGUCAGUAGCAAGAGCAGGUGGGUGCACAUUAUGUAGCCUCGAGCACCAGGCUGGGAUGAGAGAUGGGACUCCACCCCCUGUGGAGGGGCAAAGUAGAAGCCAAGCCUGGACUCAAAUCACCAAGAUUGGGGCCCAGAAACAAAGGAAGAAAGCUGAAAGUCAGUACCCAAAACAUGGGUAAAGCAGGGACCCUGGGCUCAACCUAGCAGGCAGGAACUCAGAGGGGCUGACGUCCAGGGCAGACCAGCAGCAGACCAUGUUGGGUCAUGGCCUAGGGGUUAGAGUGGCUUAAUAUGUUUUGCUGAAAGGACAGAUGGAUUUCUGUGCCAGGUUUUAAAGAGGAAGCCAGGUGUGGAGUCUGGGAGCCACGCUGGAUCUGACACUCAGGCAGUUUGUCAUCUAAUUGGAAGAACCAAAGUAUGAAUACAUAACAAAUGAGUCACCUGAGCUGUUGUUAACUGAACAUGGGGCAAUAUUUCAAGAGUACCUGAAAGCCCUAUAUUAUGCAUUGUCUGGCUUGGGCCAAGGAGGGCAUGUGACUCUAGGAUACAAAAGAGUCCUCUGCGUUGGAGUGGUUUCUGAAGGUUUCAUGGAAGGGCAAAGGGUUAAGCUGACCCUUGAAGAGUGGAUGAAUGGAUAACUGAAUUAAUUCAGUCACUCAUUCACUCAAAAAAAUACUUAGAAAUCCCUGCAGUGAGAUAGGUGCCAAGAAUAAAGAGGUGAACAAUAGGGACACUGACGUUGGCUGCAUAGAAAUUGCAGGCUCAUGUAGGUUUGAGAGAAGCAAACAAGCAAGCAGGGAAGAUGCAAUUUCAGCCGGGACUGGAGGAAGUACAUAAGGCCGGUGAGGCACACCUAGAGCCAGCUUCUAAGGAAGUGUUCUUUCUGCUAACCUGGGCUGCUGCCAGGCCCAGCACUAAUUGUGCAUACUUUCUACCUGCUUUAAGGCUUGAUCCUAAAGAAAACUAAAAAUGUUAUUAAUAUAAACUCUUUGAGCUAGGGGGUGGCAAACACUUUCUGUAAAGGCCCGGAUAUUAAACAUUGUAGGCUUUGCAGGUGUGUCAUGAAAUACUAUUCUUGUUUUGAUUGUUUUCAAGCAUCUAAAAAUGUAAAACUCAUGUUUAGCUUACAGGCCAGAUUUGGCCUGCAGGCUGCAGUUUGCUGACCCUGGUCUAGGUCAAUACAGUUACUUUUGUUCAUAGACCAACAAGGUGUUCAAGUGCAUUGGUGGAUAAUA
This 5270-nucleotide long non-coding RNA is filed under the name Homo sapiens (human). RNAcentral describes it as "HSALNT0293595". Lineage: Eukaryota; Metazoa; Chordata; Mammalia; Primates; Hominidae. The record is from RNAcentral.